ACGAGCUUACUUGAACAGGAUCUGUUCUAUAGGAUCGUACCUCUAUAUCCUUAAUUUCUAAGGAGACAGGCCCUUAACCCUGGUUGAUGAGCCAUGACCAUGUGAUCAGAGCGUGAUUUACGGCCACGAUCAGUCCUUAAUUGGUCUGGUGCUGUAGAGGCUAAUCAGUGCCGGGGUGGUCACAUGGCGGUCUGACAAAAU
Molecule: non-coding RNA, 201 nt
Organism: Arabis alpina (gray rockcress)
Lineage: Eukaryota; Viridiplantae; Streptophyta; Magnoliopsida; Brassicales; Brassicaceae
Source: Rfam